GGGGGUAUAGCUCAGUUGGGAGAGCACCUGCCUUGCAAGCAGGGGGUCAAGGGUUCGAAUCCCUUUAUCUCCACGA
This 76-nucleotide transfer RNA is filed under the name Firmicutes bacterium AF22-6AC. Its description in RNAcentral is "tRNA-Ala". It matches the Rfam family "tRNA". From Rfam's summary of the family: Transfer RNA (tRNA) molecules are approximately 80 nucleotides in length. Their secondary structure includes four short double-helical elements and three loops (D, anti-codon, and T loops). The record is from RNAcentral. RNAcentral also lists the same sequence under 6 other names. Lineage: Bacteria; Bacillati; Bacillota.